AGCGGCGGACGGGUGAGUAACGCGUGGGUAACCUGCCCUGUACACACGGAUAACAUACCGAAAGGCAUGCUAAUACGAGAUAAUAUGCUUUUAUCGCAUGGUAGAAGUAUCAAAGCUUUUGCGGUACAGGAUGGACCCGCGUCUGAUUAGCUAGUUGGUAAGGUAACGGCUUACCAAGGCGACGAUCAGUAGCCGACCUGAGAGGGUGAUCGGCCACAUUGGAACUGAGACACGGUCCAAACUCCUACGGGAGGCAGCAGUGGGGAAUAUUGCACAAUGGGCGAAAGCCUGAUGCAGCAACGCCGCGUGAGCGAUGAAGGCCUUCGGGUCGUAAAGCUCUGUCCUCAAGGAAGAUAAUGACGGUACUUGAGGAGGAAGCCCCGGCUAACUACGUGCCAGCAGCCGCGGUAAUACGUAGGGGGCUAGUGUUAUCCGGAAUUACUGGGCGUAAAGGGUGCGUAGGUGGUUUCUUAAGUCAGAGGUGAAAGGCUACGGCUCAACCGUAGUAAGCCUUUGAAACUGGGAAACUUGAGUGCAGGAGAGGAGAGUGGAAUUCCUAGUGUAGCGGUGAAAUGCGUAGAUAUUAGGAGGAACACCAGUUGCGAAGGCGGCUCUCUGGACUGUAACUGACACUGAGGCACGAAAGCGUGGGGAGCAAACAGGAUUAGAUACCCUGGUAGUCCACGCCGUAAACGAUGAGUACUAGCUGU
RNAcentral lists this ribosomal RNA (710 nucleotides) under uncultured bacterium. RNAcentral describes it as "bacterial SSU rRNA". It matches the Rfam family "Bacterial small subunit ribosomal RNA", at positions 94 to 823 of the family's 1533-position model. The record is from RNAcentral.